CCUACGGGGGGCAGCAGUAGGGAAUAUUGGGCAAUGGGCGAGAGCCUGACCCAGCCAUGCCGCGUGCAGGAAGAAUGCCUAUGGGUUGUAAACUGCUUUUAUGACAGGCGGUGUACCAAUAGAAUAAGCACCGGCUAACUCCGUGCCAGCAGCCGCGGUAAUACGGAGGGUGCAAGCGUUGUCCGGAUUUAUUGGGUUUAAAGGGUGCGUAGGCGGCUUUUUAAGUCAGUGGUGAAAUCCUACAGCUUAACUGUAGAACAGCCAUUGAUACUGAAGAGCUUGAGUACAGACGAGGUAGGCGGAAUUUAUGGUGUAGCGGUGAAAUGCAUAGAUACCAUAAAGAACACCGAUUGCGAAGGCAGCUUACUAGACUGUACUGACGCUGAGGCACGAAAGCGUGGGGAUCAAACAGGAUUAGAUACCCUUGUAGUC
This 432-nucleotide ribosomal RNA is filed under the name uncultured bacterium. RNAcentral describes it as "partial 16S ribosomal RNA". It matches the Rfam family "Bacterial small subunit ribosomal RNA", at positions 338 to 795 of the family's 1533-position model. The record is from RNAcentral.